RNAcentral lists this ribosomal RNA (459 nucleotides) under uncultured bacterium. Its description in RNAcentral is "partial 16S ribosomal RNA". It matches the Rfam family "Bacterial small subunit ribosomal RNA", at positions 338 to 795 of the family's 1533-position model. The record is from RNAcentral.
CCUACGGGUGGCAGCAGUGAGGAAUAUUGGUCAAUGGCCGCAGGGCUGAACCAGCCAAGUCGCGUGAGGGAUGACGGUCCUAUGGAUUGUAAACCUCUUUUGCCAGGGAGCAAAGGGCGCCACGUGUGGCGUGUUGCGAGUACCUGAAGAUAAAGCAUCGGCUAACCCCGUGCAAGCAGCCGCGGUAAUACGGAGGAUGCGAGCGUUAUCCGGAUUUAGUGGGUUAAAAGGGUGUGCAGUGGGAAUGUCAAGUCAGCGGUAAAAUUUUGGGGCUCAACCUCUGCGAGCCGUUGAAACUGGUUUUCUUGAGUGGACGAGAGGUAUGCGGAAUGCGUGGUGUAGCGGUGAAAUGCAUAGAUAUCACGAAGAACUCCGAUUGCGAAGGCAGCAUACCGGAGCUCAACUGACGCUCAUGCACGAAAGUGUGGGUAUCAAACAGGAUUAGAUACCCGAGUAGUC